RNAcentral lists this ribosomal RNA (2184 nucleotides) under Triticum aestivum (bread wheat). RNAcentral describes it as "partial small subunit ribosomal RNA". Lineage: Eukaryota; Viridiplantae; Streptophyta; Magnoliopsida; Poales; Poaceae. The record is from RNAcentral.
GCUUUUACUUUUUUACACCUCUGCGCCGGUGAGGAGAGGGGGCUACGCGGCGGCGGGGGGCAGGGGGGACGAGGCGGAGGCGAGGGUCGGAGAGGGGGAGCCGCAAGCGCGGAGGCCUAGCUUCGGGUGCUGCCGCCGCAAGGGUCUAGCCGUUUCGCGGUGGGGUAGCCUAGCAGCAGUGACGACUGCCGGCGGAGGAGCAGUUCCUUCGCGCCGAAGGUCGGCCGCCGCUGGUUCCGUUCCCUCCGGGCGCUUCUUCAACGAGGACGAGGGCGCCGGCUGCCGCCGGCACUGCUUCGACGAGGACGAGGUCUCCCCGCGGAGACGGGGGCGCACAAGGUGGCCCUCUCCUCCUCUCCUAGGAGGCGCACUAGAAGAAGAAGAGCCGGCUGCUACGUAGGAGGAGGAGGCGGCGCAGUACCCGCGAGUGGUGCCUUCGUGUUCAGACGGGAUGUACUACGGACCGUCCGAUUGGAUCGUCCUACGUACACGUUGUCUGACUUUGUUCGUCGGAUGUGACAGGAGUUUAGGGGACAAAGAAGAAAGUGUCGAGACGAGAGGUUGUCGAACGUGCCGAGGUAGUGGCGGCUCUAGUAGUUGACGUUGUUCGGCUGUCGUUAAAUACGCACGGUGGUCAUACGGUAGAUGAAGAAAAAUACGAUGAAGUAACCCGAAAAUAGACUCGGUUGAGAUGGACGACUCUAAUAAUAACCACACCCGUUGGUGGUCAUGCACAUACUCGUCGAAUUCGGACGGGGGUCGCGGCCUCUGCGACGGCCGCGUGGCUGCCGCCUCGGGUCGGCCGUGCCGAAGACCCGUACCUUCCUCUCCAAGCAGUAGUGGAUGUUGGGAGGGCUGAAGCCUCUGCUGCUCCAGCGCCGGCACCUGCGGCUGCUCACGUCGUCCACGCCGAAAGAGACACACCCCAGAGACCGGCCCAAGGAGCAGAAAGAGCCGAGGGACGAAGAGGACGAGAAGAAGGUAGUCGGCAGGGUUAGGCGGUAACCUAGCCACCAGAUGCACCGGUGCGCGCAGGAGCGGUACCGCCCGUACGAACAGCCCAAAACGAGCCGGCCGGAGAAAGAACUGGAAACGCUGUCCUACCUAUUCCCACUAUUUGUACGUCUCGCGGCGGGCGGGGUCGGGUAUGACCGCCGGCGGCGAGGCCGAGGCAGCCGGUGGGUUCGAGACGCGAAGGGGCGGUGGGGACGGCGACGGGACGUCACCCCGAAGGGACGACGACGGUGGCAGCAACGAGGCAGGGGUCUAGAUCUAGCCCUCGACGUCUGGGGUGGGGGAGGCGGCGGCCCCGCCGGCCAGUCCGGACGACUGCUGCACCUAAAGCAGGGGCUCUGCGGCGGGCUCGAGGACGCGCGGCGCCGAAGGCGAAGACCGCCGCGCCAGGGUAAGUUACGCCCGCUACCGCACGGCACGCCCCCGCCGUAAUUGAGACCGGACGGGCGCCCGCCCACCAACCGGACGAAGUUCUCCCACCUCCCGCUCCGCGUAAGUUGCGCGCGCGGACGAGGCGUCAGGCUGCUCCCCGAGCUCCCUCCUACCCAGUGGCAGCCCAGUUUAGCCGGCGCGGCUCGAGCGGUUGGUACCACAAUGGCGGGAGCGGGACGAGGUUCGCACCGCUUGAGCUCCCGCGACGAGAGCGAAGGUCUUAGCGACAAGUGCUGCGGGUCCGCAUGCGGGGGGGACUACGGGCCCCGACGAUACCACCUCUCGAGUUAAGGUUGCCCUAACCUCCGAGACAAAGUCGGUUCCGUCGUCGGAGACGAAGGGAGCGGCCGAAGGAGGGGUCAGUUCCGGGGUUGCGCGUCCGCGUUCUGGGACCGACCGUACGUGUAGUGGUGGUUACCACCCAAGAGCGACUCCGCGUUGUCACGCGCCUAGUACCGAGCGCCGCGACCGAAACGGUGACGGUACCGGUUCCUUCGCGUCCCCGACGAGACGGCGAGCUAACCGUAACAUGUUCUGCCCCUUCUAUAGUGUCUGUUCUGCGACUUCCGUAAGCUUCUGGUCAAGUUCCUCGUUGAGGGUCUCCGCCAGUACCGUCGGAACGCUCCGAACAAGUUUCAACUACUACAACAACGACCUCUCCACCUCCUCCGGGAUUAGUUGGUGCCCCCACUCCGACGCUAACUGGUACUCCGGUGCCGUUGCCGCGGCAGACGGAUC